GGGCGUUUAGCUCAGUUGGUUAGAGCACUUCCCUUACAAGGAAGGGGUCCGGGGUUCGAGUCCCUGAACGCCCACCA
RNAcentral lists this transfer RNA (77 nucleotides) under Acidobacteriota bacterium. RNAcentral describes it as "tRNA-Val". It matches the Rfam family "tRNA". Rfam says of the family: Transfer RNA (tRNA) molecules are approximately 80 nucleotides in length. The record is from RNAcentral. Lineage: Bacteria; Pseudomonadati; Acidobacteriota. RNAcentral also lists the same sequence under 3 other names.